This is a small nucleolar RNA of Meriones unguiculatus (Mongolian gerbil), 79 nucleotides long. Its record names the gene SNORD115. It matches the Rfam family "Small nucleolar RNA SNORD115". From Rfam's summary of the family: HBII-52 is a member of the C/D class of snoRNAs, which contain the C (UGAUGA) and D (CUGA) box motifs. HBII-52 is encoded in a tandemly repeated array with another C/D snoRNA, HBII-85, in the Prader-Willi syndrome (PWS) region of chromosome 15. NCBI's taxonomy places the organism in Eukaryota, Metazoa, Chordata, Mammalia, Rodentia, Muridae. The record is from Ensembl.
GGGUCUAUGAUGACAACCCAACGUCACGAAAAGAGGUGAUGACAUAAAAUUCAUGCUCAAUAAGAUUACCCUGAGGCAC